AGCUAAAUAGCUCAGUGGGUAGAUGAUGAGACUCUUAAUCUCAGGGUUGUGGGUUUGAGCCCCACGUUGGGUA
This is a non-coding RNA of Podarcis lilfordi (Lilford's wall lizard), 73 nucleotides long. The record is from the annotation of a GenBank genome assembly. Lineage: Eukaryota; Metazoa; Chordata; Lepidosauria; Squamata; Lacertidae.